This 455-nucleotide ribosomal RNA is filed under the name uncultured bacterium. Its description in RNAcentral is "bacterial SSU rRNA". It matches the Rfam family "Bacterial small subunit ribosomal RNA", at positions 340 to 786 of the family's 1533-position model. The record is from RNAcentral.
UACGGAAGGCAGCAGUGGGGAAUAUUGCACAAUGGGCGAAAGCCUGAUGCAGCUAUGCCGCGUGUAUGAAGAAGGCCUUAGGGUUGUAAAGUACUUUCAUCGGGGAGGAAAAAACAAAACUAAUAAUUUUAUUUCUUGACGUUACCCGAAAAAGAAGCACCGGCUAACUCCGUGCCAGCAGCCGCGGUAAUACGGAGGGUGCUAGCGUUAAUCAGAAUUACUGGGCGUAAAGAGCACGUAGGUGGUUUUUUUAAGUCAGAUGUGAAAUCCCUGGGCUUAACCCAGGAACUGCAUUUUGAAACUGAAAUACUAGAGUAUCGUAGAGGGAGGUAGAAUUCUAGGUGUAGCGGUGAAAUGCGUAGAUAUCUGGAGGAAUACCUGUGGCGAAAGCGGCCUCCUAAACGAAUACUGACACUGAGGUGCGAAAGCGUGGGGAGCAAACAGGGAUAGAUACC